ACCACUCUGUCAUGACCGAAGGGUGCCUGGGCCAAAUUUGAGUGAGUGGCUUUGUGACAUGGUGCACAAGGUCACAUCACCAUGUGACCCCUUGCACCACAUUGCAAUGCCCAGAACAGGGAGGCAAAUCCAGCCGAGACAGGACCUGCUGAUGCUGGCACUGGGAGCAUGCCAGCUUGAGCUCAGCUGAUCAUGGAGACUACAUGUCCCAAAUGCGCUUCAGCCUGGUCUGCACAGGAGGUGGUGGAUCUCAUCGCUGCAUGGGGAGAAGAUUCUGUGCAGGCAGAGCUCCGAUCCAGCAGAAGAAACGCUGACAUCUGUGCAAAGAUCGCUUGUGAAAUAGGGGAGAAGGGCUACACGAGGGAAACACAGCACUGCCGUGUGAAAAUAAAAGAACUUUGCCAAGCAUACCAGAAGGCAAGGGAGGCAAACAGUUGUUCUGGUGCUGAACCCCACACAUGCAGGUUCUACAAUGAGCUGCAUGUGAUUCUUGAGGGUGACCCUACCAGCACCCCCACAAGCAACAUGGACACCUCACAGGUGUGUGAGUCAGGGACAACAAGGAAGAUUAUAUGGUGGAUGAUGAUGAGGAGGAUAAUGGGAGACAGGCGAGCGGUGAAUCCAUUCUCCCUGAGAGCCAGGACAUAUUUUUAACCCUGGAGCACUGGGGGUUGCAGGACAUCACAGUGGCUGACAGUGAUGCCUGGAAAGGCGCCUCUGCUGGAAAUGUGUCCUUCGGCAGGUCAUCAACACCUGAAAGCAGACUUUUGAUGAUUAGAAGGAGGAGAAAGAGAACACAAGAAGACGUGUUCGCCGAGAUAAUGAACACAUCUGGGACAACUGAUGCAGAGCUGAGAG
Mauremys reevesii (Reeves's turtle) is the source of this 858-nucleotide long non-coding RNA. RefSeq lists it as uncharacterized. The transcript is spliced from 3 exons. The record is from RefSeq and is a predicted model, not a curated record. NCBI's taxonomy places the organism in Eukaryota, Metazoa, Chordata, Testudines, Geoemydidae.